RNAcentral lists this ribosomal RNA (1346 nucleotides) under uncultured bacterium. RNAcentral describes it as "partial 16S ribosomal RNA". It matches the Rfam family "Bacterial small subunit ribosomal RNA", at positions 28 to 1381 of the family's 1533-position model. The record is from RNAcentral.
GACGAACGCUGGCGGCGUGCUUAACACAUGCAAGUCGAACGGAAAGGCCCUGCUUUUGUGGGGUGCUCGAGUGGCGAACGGGUGAGUAACACGUGAGUAACCUGCCCUUGACUUUGGGAUAACUUCAGGAAACUGGGGCUAAUACCGGAUAGGAGCUCCUGCUGCAUGGUGGGGGUUGGAAAGUUUCGGCGGUUGGGGAUGGACUCGCGGCUUAUCAGCUUGUUGGUGGGGUAGUGGCUUACCAAGGCUUUGACGGGUAGCCGGCCUGAGAGGGUGACCGGCCACAUUGGGACUGAGAUACGGCCCAGACUCCUACGGGAGGCAGCAGUGGGGAAUAUUGCACAAUGGGCGGAAGCCUGAUGCAGCAACGCCGCGUGCGGGAUGACGGCCUUCGGGUUGUAAACCGCUUUCGCCUGUGACGAAGCGUGAGUGACGGUAAUGGGUAAAGAAGCACCGGCUAACUACGUGCCAGCAGCCGCGGUGAUACGUAGGGUGCGAGCGUUGUCCGGAUUUAUUGGGCGUAAAGGGCUCGUAGGUGGUUGAUCGCGUCGGAAGUGUAAUCUUGGGGCUUAACCCUGAGCGUGCUUUCGAUACGGGUUGACUUGAGGAAGGUAGGGGAGAAUGGAAUUCCUGGUGGAGCGGUGGAAUGCGCAGAUAUCAGGAGGAACACCAGUGGCGAAGGCGGUUCUCUGGGCCUUUCCUGACGCUGAGGAGCGAAAGCGUGGGGAGCGAACAGGCUUAGAUACCCUGGUAGUCCACGCUGUAAACGGUGGGUACUAGGUGUGGGGUCCAUUCCACGGGUUCCGUGCCGUAGCUAACGCUUUAAGUACCCCGCCUGGGGAGUACGGCCGCAAGGCUAAAACUCAAAGGAAUUGACGGGGCCCCGCACAAGCGGCGGAGCAUGCGGAUUAAUUCGAUGCAACGCGUAGAACCUUACCUGGGUUUGACAUGGAUCGGGAGUGCUCAGAGAUGGGUGUGCCUCUUUUGGGGUCGGUUCACAGGUGGUGCAUGGCUGUCGUCAGCUCGUGUCGUGAGAUGUUGGGUUAAGUCCCGCAACGAGCGCAACCCUUGUUCACUGUUGCCAGCACGUUAUGGUGGGGACUCAGUGGAGACCGCCGGGGUCAACUCGGAGGAAGGUGGGGAUGACGUCAAGUCAUCAUGCCCCUUGUGUCCAGGGCUUCACGCAUGCUACAAUGGCUGGUACAGAGAGUGGCGAGCCUGUGAGGGUGAGCGAAUCUCGGAAAGCCGGUCUCAGUUCGGAUCGGGGUCUGCAACUCGACCUCAUGAAGUCGGAGUCGCUAGUAAUCGCAGAUCAGCAACGCUGCGGUGAAUACGUUCCCGGGGCC